Long non-coding RNA from Drosophila simulans, 4284 nucleotides. RefSeq lists it as uncharacterized. The record is from RefSeq and is a predicted model, not a curated record. NCBI's taxonomy places the organism in Eukaryota, Metazoa, Arthropoda, Insecta, Diptera, Drosophilidae. The transcript is spliced from 3 exons.
GAGAUGGGGCGAAAAUCUCUAAUAAGGAUGCCCGAUGAUGAAAAAUUCAUGGCCUGGCAUCGCACGCAUCCUGCGCUGGCUCCUGAGUAAACGAAAACACUCCGACUCAGUCACACGCAGCGAACACAGAGGCCAGCGAUAUAUAUAGUGAAAGCCCCGAAAAAUAUAGCCAAAUUGAGACCAAAAUCCAAAUUGUGCAAUAAAUAAAGCGCUGCAUAACCCGCAGGGCGCAGCCAUCUUAUUCCGAAGCCAAAUCGAGAAAUUCUUCGAAACGCGAGUGCCACCAAAAAUUGAUUGCUUCGAAUUCGCAGCCAGUGAUUGUAUAAUUUCCAUUGCUUUGCUAUUUUUACGGGUGUGGGCGCCCAACGGCAGCGGCAAAGAGGAUAUAUCUAUCUAUAUAUAUCUUCCAGGAUAUACGGAUUAACCCAAUCUGCGCCAGAGAUAAUUAGCGAAAAUCGCCAAAUUCCCGGGCAUGAAAACUUAAUUGACUUGAAUAAAUAAUUUCCAGCCCGAGUUGUUGUUGUUUGUGCGCCUACGGUUUUUUUCGGUGAAAGCGAAUGCGGGCCCAAAGCGGAAUCGGAAAAAGUUACUGAAAUACAACGGCAGAAAAAAAACGAAUACAUAGAGAAACUGCCGCUGCCGUUGCCGCCUGUGAAAGCAAAGAGAAGGGGGUGGAGAAGGAGCGUGGGCAAAAAGAGAGCGAGAGGAAGAAAGCGCGGAGGAGGUCGCGGAGUUGGAGAAAGGGGGCUCGAGGAGUAAGAGAAAGCAGCCAUUACUGCGAAAGAGAGCCGGAGCCGGAAGAGAAAGGCGCAGAGAAAGUCCAAGAGACAACAUCGCAAUUUUGUGGACGACAUUCACAGUGGAUGGAAACUUUAUAAACAAACGUUAAGCCCUUAAGAGAAUGCUGACAAAAUAAAAAACGCAAAAUAAAUAUAAGUUUAGAAAUGUAACUUAAAAGAAAAGACUCAUAUCAACACAUAUCAUUCUAUAGUCUAUAGAAAAUAUUAAAUAACUAAAUAUACAAAAAGAAAGCUGAGAAAAGCUGAUAAAUAAAUCCAGCAAUUACCUAAAAACUAAAAGAUAUUUAAUUGUCUUAAAAGAAUAGAAACCAAUGCGAUAACCAUACAUAUCAUGUAAAAGCGUUUAAUGCCAAAAGGUGAAAUAUGAAAAGUAUAAUUAAUUAGCACAUUAAAGAGAAAUGUAAUUCAAGAAAUUAAGAAAAUCUACGAAUGGUAACGUAAACAUAUCAUGUAAAACGCCCAAAAAGCUUGCUGAAUCCCUAAUCAAGCUUUUUUAUCUUAUCAACAAAAUAAAAACAAAACAAAUGAACUAGCCUAAGGAGAGUUGUGCAAAUUAUCGCAUACAUAUCAAAGCUCUUGCAAAGAGCAAAUAUAAAUAUUAAAUUUACAAUUAUCUAAGAUCUAGUUACCUUAGAAAAUCCAAAGAAUAGUAAUUUUUGUUAGAAGUUUUACAUUAGUUGUCUCGAAUAUAACAAGAAAGAGAUAUAUACAACAAUAUUGUCACAUAUCAUUGAGGAAGCCUCAGCAAAAGUCUAAAACUAUAACGACUAGAAAACUUAUCAAUUAUAUAGACUGCGUGUUUAUGAAUGCUACGCGAAAAUAUUAAUUACUUUAUCAAGCGGACCAAUUGCAAAUGACGAGAAGACUUCAUUGAAUUCCAGACGACGGAUCGAAGAAUAACUAAAGUUCUUAAAAGACUUUAAUUGGGCUGCAAUCGGAAGCUCCGAGCAAUUUGUUUACAUUUUGUUAACCAAGCUGUUAUUGUUGCUAUUGCUGUAGUUGUAGUAGCUGGCCCCACUGUUUGUUGUUGAGUAAAUCACAAUAAAGCUAUUAAGAACGGAAACGGAAGCAUUCGCCGCUGCGCACGCAUUGAAGAAUGGCCGUCAACAUUUGUCUCUCCCAUCUGCGGACCUCCCGAUCGGAUAAUACGUGGUAUGCUAUAGUGCGGCACUCAGCUGCCACCCAUCCGCCCACUGCUACUGCUCUUUUCAGUUCAGUUCAGUUCGGUAUAGUUCAGCACGAUUCAGUCGCUUUGGCUAGAGCUCAGCUAAAUAAAUGAAUGACAGACUUUUGUUCUAUUCUGCUUGGCAAAAGCAGGGGAAGCUCUUAUGGCAUCCUGUGCGAUUUCAAAUGAAGGGGAAUAUCAGAUGGGAAAUGCCUUAGAUCUUUCUGCAGUCGGGAAUCAGUCAAAGUCCAACGAAGACUGAAUGUAUUAAGUUGAAACAAAGUUAUAAAAUAUAGACAUUAUCACAAUACCAAUAAGUAUAUAUAUAUUCCAUACAAAUUUAAGAGAUAUUAAUAAUUGCUUUUUUGCACCACAUCAACCAAUUUUUUUCCUCAUAUGCAUAACUGGUUUUCCCUGCACUAUAAUUGACCUUUCAGCCAGGAAUCCCCCUUCAUCUAAAGCCAGUUAGAACUUGAAGGAAGUCGCCUAACUGCAAGUCAAACUCCUUCCUCCUCGAGACAGUCUAAUGCACGAAUGCAGCUAAUAAUUUCUUAAUCUGACAUGCAUUAUGCAUUUCUGUGAUUGUUUAUUGCAUUAUGCGCCGACUGCCGGACUGAGGCCGUGGUCAUUGCCAUUGUCCGGCUGUUUCUGCAGAAUGGAACCCAAAAAAGUGGCCAACUCAUGGCGAGUAAGUGCCGCAAUGACUGGCCUGACUACGGAAUUCUCUCAGUUUACUCCACUGUCUGGGCCCCACAGAUCCCCGUUGUCAUUGUCUUCUGGCAAUUGCAAUUGCAAGUGGCUGGCGUACUUGGUUUGCAGUUCGAGUUGGACUUGCUGGACGGACUGGUUUCCGAAAACGUUCGCUUCUCAGUCCGUUCACCCUGCCCAAAAAGUAACCCUCUAUAAAAAGAAAACAACACGGGGAAAUACAUAGGGCAUAUGGCUUGAAACAGAAAAACACCUGACUGUGCCGCGUGUUGUUUUCCCCACUGUGUUUGUGAGCAAGUACGCUUCCCUUUUUCCCGAAGUCGUUACAACCAUAGCAAAGUACAAGUGCACUGAAAGAAAUAAAUUUAUAUAGAGAUAUAUUUAAGUAUAUUAAAUUAGUGUAUUUGUCAUUCUGAACUCCUGAAUCAAACUCAAUAUGUUUUUGGCAUUUUAAAGUGUCGCAUUGUAAUAAAUUCCCGAAAAUAGGAAACUAUUUUUCUGAGUGUACUGAUAGUCUGUGCUUGUAGUGCACCUGUCCCAUCUCUCUGGCUUGAGCCAUCGCCAAAGGAGGAAGAAGCAGCACAAGCCGGCUGCCGGCUGUUGGCCGUCGACCGUCGACUAUCGACCAUCGAAUGUUGGCCGUCUGCUGCCUGAUGUCUGCCGCCUACCUGGGACAAUUGGCCAAACAUUAAGAGCAGCGGUCUGUGUGGAUGGUGUCUGCAGAGGAUAGAUGAAGGGAGAGCAAGAAAGGGGGAGGGGGAAAAGGAAACGAAAGGCACUUGAACUCAACUGUUUAGAUUCCCAAAAGAGAAAGGCAGAAAAUUCAAUUUUUGAAUUUGUUUUCGAUGCAUAAACAAGAAUUGGUAAUGGGAAUUGGUUCCUGGCCCACUCUUGCCCCUCCUCUGAUUAGGCCCUGCAGAGUCUAUAAAUAUGACCAAGUUAUGACUACGGAUCACGUCAGAGUUCCUGGAACUCCAUCUCCACCUCCACCUCGACUCAGUUCCAUUCCACCUGUCCUGCCCACAAUUUUCAAUUUGUGUACGCAAAUCCAAGGAAAUCGUGGCCCGACAUGAAACAACAGCAGGACUAAUGCCGUUCGAAAAAAAAAAGCCCAACUAAAUCCGGCCAACUAUUACCAAACUAAACUGAACCAUCUUGUGUAUGUAAAGUUAAUUCCAGUCGGUGAGUUAUGAAUAAAUAAAUAUUGUAAAUGGUUUAUCGUGACUUGCUGUCGUUGUGUACAUGUAGUUCCCCUCCGUUUUAUCCACGACACACAUGCAAUGCCUUCAAGGAUAAAUGGUUUGGGGGGCUGACGAAGGGCUGAUGGGCGGCGAUUCAUGACAUGCAAAUUGCAUUUUGUCAUUAUUCCGGCUUGUUUGAUCAAUUUUUAUGACAAAUUAUCGAAGAAAAACAAAAGAAAUUGUGACAACGUUGGGGUGGGCGCUUUUUUGUUGAAUAUUGUUGGGGUUAGCUGGUGGAAGGAGCUGCGAUUGGAGAUUUUAAUGGACGAUUAUUAACUAUUUAUAAGUUAAAUGCUUGUUCUGGCGUCAUUAUGCCACUCCGUAGAUUCCAGGAAAACAUAACUGAAUUAUUCACACAAUAUCUGAACAA